This 468-nucleotide ribosomal RNA is filed under the name uncultured bacterium. RNAcentral's name for it is "partial 16S ribosomal RNA". It matches the Rfam family "Bacterial small subunit ribosomal RNA", at positions 28 to 507 of the family's 1533-position model. The record is from RNAcentral.
GACGAACGCUGGCGGCGUGCUUAACACAUGCCAGUCGAACGGAAAGGCCCUGCUUUUGUGGGGUGCUCGAGUGGCGAACGGGUGAGUAACACGUGAGUAACCUGCUCUUGACUUUGGGAUAACUUCAGGAAACUGGGGCUAAUACCGGAUAGGAGCUCCUGCUGCAUGGUGGGGGUUGGAAAGUUUCGGCGGGUGGGGAUGGACUCGCGGCUUAUCAGCUUGUUGGUGGGGUAGUGGCUUACCAAGGCUUUGACGGGUAGCCGGCCUGAGAGGGUGACCGGCGACAUUGGGACUGAGAUACGGACCAGACUCCUACGGGAGGCAGCAGUGGGGAAUAUUGCACAAUGGGCGGAAGCCUGAUGCAGCAACGCCGCGUGCGGGAUGACGGCCUUCGGGUUGUAAACCGCUUUCGCCUGUGACGAAGCGUGAGUGACGGUAAUGGGUAAAGAAGCACCGGCUAACUACGUG